AUGGCUCCUCACGCCGCUGUCCUCCUCUCCCUCCUCCUGCUCACCACCUGCGCGGCGGACACGCAUCUCCACUUCUUCCUCCACGACGUGGUCUCCGGCAGCAACCCGACGGCGGUGCAGGUCAUCAAGGGUCCUGCCUCGUCGUCCAACGCCCUCCCGGACGUGGCCUUCGGCGACACGACCGUCAUCGACGACGCGCUGACGGAGACCUCGUCGCCGACGUCGGCGCCCGUGGGGCGCGCGCAGGGGUUCUACAUGAUGUCGUCGCAGUCGGGCAUGGUGCUGAUGAUGUGCGUGAACCUGCUGCUCACCACGGGGGACUACAACGGCAGCACGCUGGCCGUCAUCGGCCGCGACGACGUCAUGACCACCACGCGGGAGCUCUCCGUGGUGGGCGGCACGGGGAAGUUCCGGAUGGCGACGGGGUACGUGGUGUGGAAGACCAAUAGCUCGAGCGGCGCCGACGCCACCAUCGAGCUUGACGUCUACACCACCGGCCUCAACGGCACCGCCACCAUCGACGCCAACGCGCCCGUCUCCCCCAUCGACGGGAGCGGCGCCACCGGCAAGUCGUCCUCGGGCGCGGCGGCGCUGAGAGGAGCAGUGCCGUACGGGUGGGCCAACGCGUGGGUGGCCGCCGUCCUUGUAGCUCUGGCUGGUUGCGUUUGGUGA
Molecule: ribosomal RNA, 672 nt
Filed under: Triticum aestivum (bread wheat)
Lineage: Eukaryota; Viridiplantae; Streptophyta; Magnoliopsida; Poales; Poaceae
Description: partial small subunit ribosomal RNA
Source: RNAcentral